This 373-nucleotide ribosomal RNA is filed under the name uncultured bacterium. RNAcentral describes it as "bacterial SSU rRNA". It matches the Rfam family "Bacterial small subunit ribosomal RNA", at positions 526 to 896 of the family's 1533-position model. The record is from RNAcentral.
GUAGCGGUGCGAGCGUUGUCCGGAAUUAUUGGGCGUAAAGGGCUCGUWGGCGGUUUGUUGCGUCGGAAGUGAAAACUCAGGGCUUAACCCUGAGCCUGCUUCCGAUACGGGCAGACUAGAGGUAUGCAGGGGAGAACGGAAUUCCUGGUGUAGCGGUGAAAUGCGCAGAUAUCAGGAGGAACACCGGUGGCGAAGGCGGUUCUCUGGGCAUUACCUGACGCUGAGGAGCGAAAGUGUGGGGAGCGAACAGGAUUAGAUACCCUGGUAGUCCACACCGUAAACGUUGGGCGCUAGGUGUGGGACUCAUUCCACGAGUUCCGUGCCGCAGCUAACGCAUUAAGCGCCCCGCCUGGGGAGUACGGCCGCAAGGCUA